This 984-nucleotide long non-coding RNA is filed under the name Cyanistes caeruleus (blue tit). RNAcentral describes it as "lncRNA (ENSCCEG00000005668.1)". The record is from RNAcentral. Lineage: Eukaryota; Metazoa; Chordata; Aves; Passeriformes; Paridae.
GCAGUGGGAAAGAUGAGCAGUGGUGUAGCUAUAUGGAAACUCACCCAAUCCCCAAUAGCAAACACAGCAUCCUUAGCAAUGCCAUGGCUUUGGACUUCCAGGGACACUUGGUGUUGGAGUCAUCUGGCCACAGCUGCCAGUCGUGCAAAUGACUUCUGCAGAUUGCAUUUCUCCUAUUUUGAAACUGGUAUAUAGGUCAAGCAGCUGAACUAGAGAAACAUCCUUUGGUACAGAAAAAGGAGUCUACAGAACCAUGGCUGAUUUUGUGCACCUUGUCUGCGUGAAGAAUAAUCCUAGUGUAAUACCUGCAUUUCGGAUACUACUUUACCCAGUUGAGCCAGGGCAGUUGAUGGCUCCAUUUGUCAGAUAAUUGCCUACUGAGGAGUUUUCAAGAAUAUGCAAACAGAAGAUGACUUUUUCUCUUGUCUCCACCUGAUUGUUUCCUUGCCUGCAAGCUGAAUCUCUGCCGUCCUCUUCUUUAUUUUGCUUUGCACAAACAUUCUCACAGGAUGUGUUGGUAACCAGUGGGUGACUGGCUGUGGUCUUAGGACAGGGUAGAUAAGAAGAGAACAUUUCAACACUGGGUUGCAGCAAGACAUCUUAUAGUCAUAACACAGUUGGUCUCCCUUGUUGCUGUGCCAGGGACAGUGCAAACCACUGAUUCAAAUUCUCCCCAGAUAUAAUAGGUAUUUACAGUUACCAUACAAUUCACAAUGCUCAGGUAGGCAGAUACAAAAAAAAACAAACAAACCAAACUGUCCAUGACAGGGAAAGACAUCUGUUCCUCUUUGCUAGUAGCAGUUUCUCCCAGAACACCCAAUUAUUCAAAUAAUUACAAAAGUAAGUUUUGCUUGAUGGCUUCUGAGCUUCAUUGUUAUGGCACAAAAUUAAAAGAAAGGUGGAUUUUUUGAAGGAGGAGAACCUAAUAUGAAUAUUGUCCUAAGCCAGUAGACAAAGACUGAAAUAAAGGGAAUUAUUUCAUCA